GCGACGUCUCUCCGUAAGCUCCCCUUGCUCCCCACUCUCGGCCUCCCUCACCCUAGCCGCACACUCUUCCUUCCCACUCUCGGCUUAACCUAGCCGCACGAGUGAAGGCGGAUCUAGCACCUUGGCAGUGGCAAUGAUGAAUCCUCCUCCUUCCAAGCAGCGUGGAUCAGUGCCAUGGCGACCUAGCGCGCUCCCUUCCCGACCUUGACCUCGAAGAACGGCUUCCCCAAGAUCGCUUUCCCGUUCGUGUAUGAUUUCCUUCUUCCAUCAAACAAUCACUCCUGAUGUCAUCUCAAUCUCAAUUUUGCAGAGGUGUUGCUAUAUUGGAUGUGGUGAAUUUAUUUGGGCAGAUCCUGGAGAUAGGGAGGGGGAGGUUGUGGCUGCGGGCAAUGGCGAACACAACCAACAGAGGCAUGGUGCUCUCCGCUGGUUCUACUCCCUGGUUGAACAAGCUCCUGAUCCAUGUUACAAGACAGGUGAAUAGCAAUGAAUUUCAGAGAUAAAGAUUGAGCUUUGAGGAAACAGGCCUUGACAAGGAUUGGCUGAAUUAUAGUCGUGAUUUUCUGCUUUUCAGAGCAUUUUGCGGCUGAAUUGAAUACUAUUUGGAAAUUUCUCAUAGUAAUAUUGUUUGUUCCACUCCUUUUAUUAUUCUGUGAAGAGGAAUAAAGAAUCAAAUUGUUGUUUACUUCAGCAAUGUCAUGCCCCUGUCGUCCGGCCUCCGCGCUGGUUUAAGGUGACUGCUUUUUACAAUCUGAAAGCGAAAAGGGAGCUAUACACAACCGCUCCAUAUAUUUUUGGAGAUACGGGAAGUAUCAAAGGUGAGGUGUAUUUCGUACAAGGUUUGAUGAGGACAUCAAUACAAUUGUUACACCCACAACCCCUGCUGCUAUAAAUACUGGACCAAUUACUAGAGCUCGCGCACGCCAACUAAAUUACCAGGUACUUUCGUUUCUUG
Triticum dicoccoides is the source of this 955-nucleotide long non-coding RNA. RefSeq lists it as uncharacterized. The record is from RefSeq and is a predicted model, not a curated record. The transcript is spliced from 6 exons. Lineage: Eukaryota; Viridiplantae; Streptophyta; Magnoliopsida; Poales; Poaceae.